Molecule: non-coding RNA, 1984 nt
Organism: Oncorhynchus mykiss (rainbow trout)
Lineage: Eukaryota; Metazoa; Chordata; Actinopteri; Salmoniformes; Salmonidae
Source: RefSeq, a predicted model, not a curated record
UAUGACGACACACCAAACAAAUGUGUUUGAUGGAUCACGGAAAAAGAGCAGGAAUAGAUUUUUGUAGUCUACAGUCCAAGUUAUGUCUUCCAAAAGUGCGAAUGCUGUCGGGAUCCAAAGAUUAUUCAACUUGAAUUAAACAAUGAUUUCAGUUAAACACAUUUUCUUUGCAGGUAGUUAUGCAUCCGAUGAGGCAGCGGAUAUCAAUGUUUUGUGGCAUGAUUUGGGUGACGGCCUCGUGUUUCUCUCUACCUCAUGCCAUUUAUCAGAAGCUGCUGUGGUUUGACUUUGGAAAGGUUCGAAUGGUGUGUCUGCCCAGCUUUCCACAGCCGUCAGAUGUGUUUUGGAAAUACUUGGACCUGGCCACGUUUUUCCUCCUCUACUUGUUGCCACUUUCUAUCAUCUCCGUAGCUUACAUUAUCGUUGCUAAGAAGCUAUGGAUGCGUAAUUCUAUAGGGGAUGUCGCCCACAGACAAAGGAAGAAGAUGACUCUGAAGAUGCUGAUGUUGGUGGUGGCUGUUUUUGCUAUUGGCUGGUUCCCUUUAAACUGUUAUGUGAUUUUGGUGUCCAGCCAGGCCAUUAACACUAACAAUGCUAUCUACUUCACCUUCCAUUGGUUUGCCAUGAGUAGCACCUGUUACAAUCCUUGCCUUUCAUUUGGCGUUCCAAGAGGGCAGUACAUCCAUGCUGAGGUUGUCAUCUCUAUAACUACAUAGAUUAUGUAUAAAGAUAUAGAGGUUAAUGCAGAGGUUAACAUCUUUCCAUAAGAUUCUGUCAAGGUUGCACCUAUCUCCAUUCAGUUGAUGUAAUUUAUAAUUAGAUCUAGGUCAACCUAUAAUAUGAAAUAUUAGAGAAUAACAGAAGUCUAUUUCUUUAAGGGGAGGUAAAAAAUAAAUAAUAAAAUGGUGAAGUAAUAAAAUAUUUUGUAAAUAAUCAGGAAAGAGAAUAUUAGUGAAACACUUGUAUGGAUACCAUAAUGGUAAAUAAAACUAAUGUGAUUUAGCAUCUUAUGUGUUUUUUCAAAACAUGAUAGCUUACACAAUUCAAGUAAAAAAAUAUUUGUUUCAAUGUCUAUCGUUCUUUUAUAGUAUAAUGUUUGUAAAUGUGUAACUGUGCACAGAGUAAACUCGAAACAUUCACAAUCAUUCAUUAGUGCACACUAUUGCAUAGGGCUAUUCAAUUCUGUCCCUCAAGAGAUGUACAGUAGUACUGCUGUUUUUCUUUCCUCCCUGGUAGUUAGUUGAUCAGUGUAUGUCAUUGACCUUAGACUUGACCCACAAUGUAUUCUCAGGGCUGAUUCAUUCAGUCCCUGAUCAGAUGGAGGAAGUAAAACCACCAGUUAUGUGUGUGGCCCUCAAGGAUUUUUCCUGGCCCUGCCAUAGCAUUAUGCAAUUAGUCAGAUCUGAUGAGCCAAGAUUAAGCAAGUGUGAAUACUUUUCACUGAAUUACCUUUAAAGGAGUACCCAUAAUGUCAUGUCAUGAUACUUGAAAUCAUUCAAAUAAUCUGAGCAGAACUAUCUACCAAUAUAAUUGCUUUCCCAUAAAAAAAAUAUUAUAAUUGCUUAAUUCGAUAAUUUCAUGAAUUUAUAUAAUUAGAUAUAUAGAUGAUCAUUAAAAAUCACAAAGUUAUUGAAUGGCUUGGAUUGACCAAUCAGCAUGCCGGAUAGAAAAAUGUACUUUUCUCACGACACCAUCUGCUGGUUGAAUCAUAGACAAUCUUCAUGUAUAAAAUUGGUUGAAUAUACACUAUGAAAUAGUGUCAGUGCCAGGGGAAUCAGAUGUUCUUAUGUGUGAGUAUGUCAUUUGUAUUUAAACUAAAUGUAUUUGUAUUUGAGUGUUUACCCGCAUUUGUAACUUGAGUCCGAUAAUUAUCUGUACAAAACAGUUCAUCUGAUAAUACUUGUGGAAUAUAAAAGUACUUGCUUGUUUUCCAGUUUUUUGAAAUACUUUGCAAAUAGAACGUAUUUCUAUUUGAAAACUGAAA